GAUGAACGCUAGCGGCAGGCCUAAUACAUGCAAGUCGAACGGUAAGGUCUCUUCGGAGAUACACGAGUGGCGCACGGGUGCGUAACGCGUAUGCAACCUACCUCUGACAGGGAGAUAGCCCAAAGAAAUUUGGAUUAAUACCCCAUAAAAUUUCCUGGACGCAUGUCCGGGAUAUCAAAGCUCCGGCGGUCAGAGAUGGGCAUGCGUGACAUUAGCUUGUUGGUGAGGUAACGGCUCACCAAGGCUACGAUGUCUAGGGGUUCUGAGAGGAUACACCCCCACACUGGUACUGAGACACGGACCAGACUCCUACGGGAGGCAG
This 322-nucleotide ribosomal RNA is filed under the name uncultured Bacteroidota bacterium. Its description in RNAcentral is "bacterial SSU rRNA". It matches the Rfam family "Bacterial small subunit ribosomal RNA", at positions 28 to 351 of the family's 1533-position model. Lineage: Bacteria; Pseudomonadati; Bacteroidota. The record is from RNAcentral.